UAAAAAAUAAAAUUUAAUUGCCAAAUUGUAAACAAUCAAAUAUUUUAUAUAAGGAAUGAAAUAGUCAAACAUUAUUAACAUUUUUUUUAAAACUUGAAAUUUUUCAAAGAUUUUACUAAGAUACCCUCUAGACAUCUUAUAUAAAUGAACCAGAAACGAUUGUUUGCUAUAACUUUGAUCAUGAUGGCAUUAUUAAGUACUAUGGUUAAAGCCCACAUUGAUCAAGAAAAUCAGCCGGGAAAAGGAAAGCGACAAUGCCCUGUUGUGAGAUGCGAUUCAUAUUGUCGUAGAGUCAUGAAGGACAAUGGAUGCUAUUACUGCGACUGCUCAAGGACGCCACAACAACAUAACAAUAAAUUUUAAUAAAUUAUUUAAGUAUAAAAUUUGUGCUAAAAAAUAUGUUUAUACCAUUUUUCCCAUUCAUUUGUUUUUUAUUAUAAAUUUUAAAAGUACAAUAUGAUUAUUAAAAAUAAUUAUUUGUGAAAAUCCGAAUUUAAGUAGCUAUUAAAUAUAUUAUUUUAUUUCUAAAAAUUAUGUUGGCGCUGAAAUUAUAAGUGACAUUGCUAAAAAGUGAUUAUAUUAUUUCUAAUAAAUUUGACAAAUUAUC
Gordionus sp. m RMFG-2023 is the source of this 607-nucleotide long non-coding RNA. RefSeq lists it as uncharacterized. Lineage: Eukaryota; Metazoa; Nematomorpha; Gordioida; Chordodea; Parachordodidae. The transcript has 4 exons. The record is from RefSeq and is a predicted model, not a curated record.